UACGAAGGGGGCUAGCGUUGCUCGGAAUUACUGGGCGUAAAGGGCGCGUAGGCGGAUAUUUAAGUCAGGGGUGAAAGCCCGGGGCUCAACCUCGGAACUGCCUUUGAUACUGGAUAUCUUGAGUUCGGGAGAGGUGAGUGGAAUGCCGAGUGUAGAGGUGAAAUUCGUAGAUAUUCGGCGGAACACCAGUGACGAAGGCGACUCACUGGCCCGAUACUGACGCUGAGGCGCGAAAGCGUGGGGAGCAAACAGG
This 253-nucleotide ribosomal RNA is filed under the name uncultured bacterium. RNAcentral describes it as "partial 16S ribosomal RNA". It matches the Rfam family "Bacterial small subunit ribosomal RNA", at positions 524 to 776 of the family's 1533-position model. The record is from RNAcentral.